Non-coding RNA from Manis javanica (Malayan pangolin), 3934 nucleotides. The record is from RefSeq and is a predicted model, not a curated record. NCBI's taxonomy places the organism in Eukaryota, Metazoa, Chordata, Mammalia, Pholidota, Manidae.
UGGUUCACACUUAUUAGACAGUAUCUUUACUCUUCACGUAAGACCAUGAGAAAAAUAACAACCUGUCUUGACAGGUGAGGGACGUGGAGCUCAGAGAAAUUAAUAUCCUGCCUCAGUAAGCCAAUGAGUGAGUGGUAGAUUCGCAUCCAGAUUUGUGAUACUGAGCUUGUGCUCAUAGGGCACCAGGGGAAGAUCUCAGAGGUGAGUGAAAUCAGCUCUUUACUUGGAUUCAACCAACUUACACACUACAUAAGACUGAGGGACCCUUUUUCAAACUGGGUGUUCUUUCCUCCGCAGAGUGUGGUUUGUGAGCCAGUGGAAUUCUCAUCAAGGAGUUUAUUGGCAAUGCAGUCUGGGUCUUCACCUCAGCCAAUCAGUCAGAAUCUGCCUUUCAACAAGCCCCCCAGAUGGUCUGUCCGUACACUACAGGUCGAGAAGUGCUGGUCUACCCUUACUACAUGCCUACUGCAGCAAGUUCAGAAGGAAGAACAGAGUAGCAAGAAAAGUUUGGAAUGCAGUCAGUGCUCAGAAGAGGAAGGCCUGUUGCUGUAGACGUCAUGUGACUGGGGAAUAUGUAGGCAGCAGGUCAUGGGCACAGUGUGGGGUACUGGGUCUCUGACUGGUGAGAAUGGCAUGCUCCACCAUAGCACAGUAAACCUUUUGGUUUAAUCAAACCAUGACGGUUGGUCACUCCAGCUUCUAUAUCUUUCUAAUGGAACAACUGAGACUGAGUUCAAGUUCCAGCAUCACCACCUACCAUGCCCAUUAUCUUACGUGAAUCACUGAAGGUCUCUUUAUCUGCAAAAUGGAGGUAAUACCAACCUCAUAUGGUAGCUGCAGGAUUAAAUGAGAAGCUAUAGACAUUAAGAUUGUCAAGGCAGGGACUGUUUAUAUUCCAUCAUUUUAACCCUGAAUGAGUGCUUGUGAACUAAGAUAUAAUUAUGUAUCUAAGGUGUUGCCAGUGUUUUAAGUAUGUGUUUUUCUCCAACACCUCUCUGUCCAAUUCUACCAAAUCUGUACAGCUCCAGAUAAAUCCUAGUCUCCUCUGUGAAGCCCCUCAACUCACUCCAGCCAGAGUGGUUUCUCUUGCCUUUGAAGAAACUUAGGUCACUUGAAGAAAAUUGUUCAGCAUCAUCAACAUGACGAGUAUGUGUUCUGGAUUUAAUGGAGCAAAUUUUGGCUCCAUUGCUUAACAUUUGGGUGACUUUGGGCAAGUUAACUUAGACUAGUGAGGCUCAAUUGUUUCAUUUGUAAAAGGGGGGUGGUCAUUUUAAUAAUAUCUAUCUCAUAGUCGAGUACAGAUAAGGAAUGAGAUAAUGUUAAAUCUAUGUUUGGCAAAAGCUUAGUGCUUAGAUAUGUUAGGGGAUUUGUUUUGAAAUAUAUUCAAUGCUUACAUUCUUAAAAUUCUAAUUCUUUUAGGGCCUCUAACUUGGAGAAGGAUCCCUUUGCAAUAAUAAUCUCUCAUCUUCUUUAAACAUUUUAUGUGUUUGCCUGUCUCCUUCUCCUAGAAUGGGAUCUGUGAAGUUAAUAAUAAUCCUAAUGUUUUUAGACCACCUCCUCCAAGACCAGCAGUAGUAACAGCAUUUCAAGCAUUUGUUAUUGUCCAGAGCCUGUAGGAAGCAAAUUGCUAUCGGUGGGCAGGCACUUACCAUGGAGCAGGUAUUUUAUUUGACUUACUUCAUGACUUCUCAUAACAUCUCCAUGUGGUGGGAUUAUUAGCCCAUUUUACAGAUGACCUUAGGUGAUAUGGAAACUAAGUACCUUCCUGUUAGCCACAGAGCUAGGACUCCAACUGAAGACUCCUGUCCUUUCUCCAUUGCUUAGGUCCUGGGCUUCCGCCAGGCCAUUUGGUAUAGUUUCUCUGGGACAUGUAAUAUUUGAAAUUCAGUGUAGAUACAAAUCACCUGGAGGUCUUGAUAGACUUCAGACAUGAGUUCUGUAAGUCCAGGGGGAGCCUGGAGGUUCUUCUUUUCUAACAAGUCCCCAGGCAUUGCUGAUGCUGCUGGUCCAGGGACUGCACUUUGUGCAACGAGGCUAACUAGCUGUCCAGUUGGGUGGUUGACAGGUGAAAUGUCUAAGACCUCCAUCUUGUGAAAUUCUUGGGACUGAGGGCGCACAGGAGGAGAGAUUAGCACGGGAGAAUAGUUAGCGGAGCUGAAUAAGGGACCAGUCAUAUUUUGGUAUUAUCCCUAACUGGAGUAGUCAUAACAUGGGACUGCUUUUAUCUAUUUCUCUUAAAUUUUAUGGUAUUGGCUGUUCCCCAAAUUCCCAGGAUGAUCAGAACAACUGAGGCACUUGGAAACCACACAGCAUCCCCAGAACCCCUCCCAGGAGGGGGGAGGUCCAGAAAUUUUUAAUUUUAGCAAGUACUUUAGGUGACCUCUAAUACCAAGGAAGUGCUAUAGAAAUUGCAACGGGCAGACUGUAAACAAGGGGUGCGUAAUCGAGAAAGGCUUGAGUGGGCGGGAGCAGAUGGAGUUUAUCUUUAAAUAAUGAGGGAGUUGGAGGAAUGUUAAGACAGUGUGAAGAGGACUGGGGGAGGGAGGGCAGAGGUGGGCCCUUGAGCAAGGGCAGGAGCAUUGGCUCUGCAUUUCCUCAGAUGUUCAGGUCGAGGCCUACUGGAUUCUGUUUGAAAUGCUGUGUCAACAAGGCCAAGAACUGAGGGAUCAAUAUGCAACUAACUAUAAUGAAAAGAAAUUGAUUACAGUAACGGGCCAGUUGCUCCUCCUUCAUUUACCUUACUUUCAGGAGACCUGAGCCUGCACCUCAGUUUUAAAGUAGGGCCGAUAGACUGACAGUCCAGAGGCCCCCUAGGGCCCUCAGAGAAGUUUGGUUUGGCUUGCAAAAUGUUUUAAAACUCAGGAACUUCACACUAAAAUCCCUACUAUGGCUUCUCUUUAAAAACGGAAAGAUCUGGCAACAUUUCCACACGUUAACAUUUGCCUGAACCACCAUUCCCCAUCACUUGACAUCAGCCUGCUGUACUCAUUUGCAUCGCCUCUCUGAAGUCGGAAUUUGUGUUUCUGCACUGUUAGGAAUGUCUUCAUAGACAAGUCCAGUGGAAGGGGAGGUUGUACCUUCCCUGGGCCCCGUUGAUGGGAUGGGCCGAGGCAGCCAUAAUUUUGGUGAUGUUACCUCACCCUCCAGCCCUUUACUUGUCAGCAUGGCUGACUCCACCAGGGAUGGCAGCCGAUUCAGAGGUGGCCCAUCCUGAAGCAUGCCAGGGACUUCUGGCUUGGCGAGGAAAGUGAGCAAGGGUAAUCACAUUCUUCACUGAGAAUGCUGGAAUUAGAAAACUAAGCAACGGCUGCCAGCUAGUGUAGGAGAAAACUGGAGAGAUUGUGAAAUGCACUUAGCAUCACAGCAAGACAAAGCCCUGUGCAAGCUGAGUUGUGCGGUAGAGAAAACCCACUGAGAGAGGAGAAUGUCUUGUGUACUGAAAGAGGCAGUGAUUAGACACCAGGUGUCCCUGAAAGCUUGAGAACUUCACUUUGUCCCCUGAAUAUCAUCCUCAAUUCUAGUCCUGGUAAGACCUGAUGUGCUGGGUUUCUAAUCCUUGGAUGUCCACAAACUAGGGGACACUUGCCCCAUUUGUCCUAUAACCACCCUUCUUCUUAGGGAAAUAAUACUCUGAAUUUCUUUAAGGGAACUGGCCCACCAUGGGGACGAAGCCCAUUUGAGAAUGAAGCCUAUGAAAGGGAGAGAGAAGACCCCUACCCUAAAUCUUCCAGCCUCCAGCCCCUCCUCUUCCGGACACCCAGGGUCAAAUGGCUGACAGACAGACAGAUGGUUUACUUCCUUAGCAGCACGUGUGCUGGGACACCAGCUCUUUCAUCAGAAGUCGCUGCUGAUCAGCCAUAUGAAGAUCGGGACUCUCAGCCCAUCUAUUUUGAAGCGAAGCACUUGGAAGAAGUCAAGGCUGAGUCUUAGUAAG